UAAUGUUCCAGGUAUCCAGUCUAUCAGACAGUAUUAUAUUAUAAUGUUCCAGGUAUCCAGUCUAUCAGACAGUAUUAUAUUAUAAUGUUCCAGGUAUCCAGUCUAUCAGACAGUAUUAUAAUGUUCCAGGUAUCCAGUCUAUCAGACAGUAUUAUAAUGUUCCAGGUAUCCAGUCUAUCAGACAGUAUUAUAAUGUUCCAGGUAUCCAGUCUAUCAGACAGUAUUAUAAUGUUCCAGGUAUCCAGUCUAUCAGACAGUAUUAUAAUGUUCCAGGUAUCCAGUCUAUCAGACAGUAUUAUAAUGUUCCAGGUAUCCAGUCUAUCAGACAGUAUUAUAAUGUUCCAGGUAUCCAGUCUAUCAGACAGUAUUAUAUUAUAAUGUUCCAGGUAUCCAGUCUAUCAGACAGUAUUAUAAUGUUCCAGGUAUCCAGUCUAUCAGACAGUAUUAUAAUGUUCCAGGUAUCCAGUCUAUCAGACAGUAUUAUAUUAUAAUGUUCCAGGUAUCCAGUCUAUCAGACAGUAUUAUAUUAUAAUGUUCCAGGUAUCCAGUCUAUCAGACAGUAUUAUAUUAUCAUGUUCCAGGUAGAGUUCCUCUGUCCAGUCUCAACGUCAACAGUGAAGAGGAGACUCCGGGAUGCUGGCCUUCUAGGCAGAGUUCCUCUGUCCAGUCUCAACGUCAACAGUGAAGAGGAGACUCCUGGAUGCUGGCCUUCUAGGCAGAGUUCCUCUGUCCAGUCUCAACGUCAACAGUGAAGAGGAGACUCCGGGAUGCUGGCCUUCUCGGCAGAGUUCCUCUGUCCAGUCUCAACGUCAACAGUGAAGAGGAGACUCCGGGAUGCUGGCCUUCUAGGCAGAGUUCCUCUGUCCAGUCUCAACAUUAACAGUGAAGAGGAGACUCCGGGAUGCUGGCCUUCUAGGCAGAGUUCCUCUGUCCAGUCUCAAUGUCAACAGUG
Long non-coding RNA from Oncorhynchus keta (chum salmon), 952 nucleotides. RefSeq lists it as uncharacterized. Lineage: Eukaryota; Metazoa; Chordata; Actinopteri; Salmoniformes; Salmonidae. The transcript has 4 exons. The record is from RefSeq and is a predicted model, not a curated record.